RNAcentral lists this ribosomal RNA (553 nucleotides) under uncultured bacterium. Its description in RNAcentral is "partial 16S ribosomal RNA". It matches the Rfam family "Bacterial small subunit ribosomal RNA", at positions 355 to 900 of the family's 1533-position model. The record is from RNAcentral.
UGGGGAAUAUUGGACAAUGGGCGAAAGCCUGAUCCAGCCAUGCCGCGUGUGUGAAGAAGGUCUUCGGAUUGUAAAGCACUUUAAGUUGGGAGGAAGGGCAGUUACCUAAUACGUGAUUGUUUUGACGUUACCGACAGAAUAAGCACCGGCUAACUCUGUGCCAGCAGCCGCGGUAAUACAGAGGGUGCAAGCGUUAAUCGGAAUUACUGGGCGUAAAGCGCGCGUAGGUGGUUAGUUAAGUUGGAUGUGAAAUCCCCGGGCUCAACCUGGGAACUGCAUUCAAAACUGACUGACUAGAGUAUGGUAGAGGGUGGUGGAAUUUCCUGUGUAGCGGUGAAAUGCGUAGAUAUAGGAAGGAACACCAGUGGCGAAGGCGACCACCUGGACUGAUACUGACACUGAGUGCGAAAGCGUGGGGAGCAAACAGGAUUAGAUACCCUGGUAGUCCACGCCGUAAACGAUGUCAACUAGCCGUUGGGGAGCCUUGAGCUCUUAGUGGCGCAGCUAACGCAUUAAGUUGACCGCCUGGGGAGUACGGCCGCAAGGUUAAAAC